Molecule: long non-coding RNA, 1450 nt
Organism: Musca domestica (house fly)
Lineage: Eukaryota; Metazoa; Arthropoda; Insecta; Diptera; Muscidae
Exons: 3
Source: RefSeq, a predicted model, not a curated record
CCAUUCCCAGGUUCUCUGAUUUGUACAAUGGAUUUAUGAAUACAAAUUUUUGGCAAUAAGAUGUUGUCAAAUGAAUAAUUUUGGAAAAAAAUGUAAACAUAUGAUUGCAUGACUUUACCUCCUUAAUUCUACCAUGUUCGUUGUAUUCCUUUUUGUAAGAAAACUGUGAACAGUAAACAGAGAGAAUCCCUGUAAAUUUGCUAGCAAUCAGCUGGUUUGUCAAAACAAAAAAAAUUGUGCGUUAUAAACAGAGAUAAACAAUGCAGGAAUUAAAAUUGUGGCGAAAAAACAAAACAAUUACGCUUGCGAUUUCCAAUAUAAAAUGUCUGGUCUGUAAUUUGCUUGUCCAAAUAUAAUUCGCCGGAAGGAGAAGAAAAAGAUUUGCAAGCGACUGAAGAAGAAAGAAAUUGUUCUCUCAAAUCUCUUUUGCAGAAUCUUCGUGUUAAUAGACGACAUCCAAAAAUUGUAGAAGAAUACAGGCAAAUGCAUCAAUACUCGCGAACAUUGAUAUGUCAAAAAUAUUUAAAAAUAUCUGCCAAAAUAAAAAUGGAUUUUAAAAUAUUUUCUUAUACGAUGCCGUUCAGAGCUGUGUUGAUGCGUCUACUUGUAUCAUUUUGUUAUGAUACAGCAUUAAGGUACAUAAAACGCUUUUUUGACUGGCUGAAGUUGUCGGCUGACUUCUUCGGAAAAGAACAAAGGAGCCUAGGGCCAAAAUCGAUCUAAGUCAACCUAAAACUCCUUUGUUCAUCUACGAAGAAGUCAGCCGACGACUUAUGUAUUAUGUAUUUCCACCCUUAAUCUUGCCAUACGCUCCAGAGUGGCAAAUGUUUCUGCAAAGGAAACAGGUAUAACAAAAACCUAAACAUUGAAUAGUUCAUGAUAAAAUAUUAAACAAAUAUCAAUAAACAGUUACUUUCUGAGAUCAAUCGUCUCUAUAUUAGGUUUCUUGAUAAAUCUUUAUUUUGAUAUUCCUCUCUUUUGCUUGUGUCAGCUGAGAGGCAUUUAAGGUGAGAAUACAUAAAGCGCUUUUUUCACUGGCUUAAGUCGUCGGCUGGCGUCUUCGGAAGAGAACAUGAAACCUAGGUCCAAAAUCGAACUUAGUCAAACUAAAACUCCUUUGUUCCUCCACUAAGAUUGACUUAAGCCAGACAAAAAACCGUUUUAUGUAUUCUCACCUUUAUACGCUCCUAAUGGUGUAUCCAUAGAAGAAUACAGGUAGAUGCAUCAACGCUUAAGAACAUUGAUAUGUCAAUAAUUUUUAAAUGUUCUUUCAAAUAUCAGUAGAUUUUUAUAUAUUUUCUUGUACGACGUCGUUCGGAGGUUCACGUUUUUCAACAAUUUUUACAAAUUUAAAUAAAUUUUGAUUCAAAAUUUUCAAUUCCAAAAUUUAUUUAUAUUAUGCGACUACUUAUAUUCUUCUAUCAUGGGUGUAUCCAUGUUGGGGAAUUUG